This 72-nucleotide transfer RNA is filed under the name Ruegeria sp. THAF57. Its description in RNAcentral is "tRNA-Met". It matches the Rfam family "tRNA". From Rfam's summary of the family: Transfer RNA (tRNA) molecules are approximately 80 nucleotides in length. Their secondary structure includes four short double-helical elements and three loops (D, anti-codon, and T loops). Lineage: Bacteria; Pseudomonadati; Pseudomonadota; Alphaproteobacteria; Rhodobacterales; Roseobacteraceae. The record is from RNAcentral.
GAUGGAGCAGCCCGGUAGCUCGUCAGGCUCAUAACCUGAAGGUCGUAGGUUCAAAUCCUACUCCCGCAACCA